GUAGGUGAACCUGCGGAAGGAUCAUUAUCGAAAUAAAUCUGAACAGGCUGUUGCUGGUCGGAAGACAUGUGCACGCUUGUCCUCUUUAUUUUUCCAACUGUGCACAUAUUGUAGACCUUUUUGAGGGAAUGAUGGCCAAGGUCUAUGUUACAUUUAACAACUUGUUGUAGAAUGGGGGGAUAUGAAACAAACAUACAACUUUCAGCAACGAAUCUCUUGGCUCUC
Molecule: unclassified non-coding RNA, 225 nt
Filed under: rhizosphere metagenome
Description: partial ribosomal RNA internal transcribed spacer region
Source: RNAcentral